Long non-coding RNA from Sycon ciliatum, 632 nucleotides. RefSeq lists it as uncharacterized. The transcript is spliced from 2 exons. NCBI's taxonomy places the organism in Eukaryota, Metazoa, Porifera, Calcarea, Leucosolenida, Sycettidae. The record is from RefSeq and is a predicted model, not a curated record.
GAGCCUUGGAGCUGAUGUAGUGACCACCCAUUUGAUGCCCGACAUCUACUACGGCUGGCCUGCCAGGAAUGUCGUGUCGCCAAUGUUCUGGAGGUUCUGCAGGCUUGGGGAUUCAAUCCCAAUUGCCUCGGAAACAUCUGACGCAGCACGUCACCGUGUUGAUGGCUUUGACUCAGGUUCCCUGUUCAUCUCGGAGCUUCGCAGUCUGUCCGUAUUCAACUGCCAUCAACUCCUGAAGAAAAGGUCAAAGAAAGCAGGAGGUUUGUAAGAAAGAAAAAGGACCAAGGGACUACAAGUUACGCUAUAAUGUCACUAACACCACCAGCUCCUACUAGUACUAGUUUUCCUGGAUUGCAGUAAUGUUGCGUUUUCUAUUGUUUCCCUUUUUUAUACUUCCAUUUAUUUUUAUUUUUUGUUGUUCUCGGCGUGCCAAAGUCUCAGCGUGAAUCAUUUAUGCAUACGUUGCAUCUUUCAAAGCAUUCAUCUAGGGAUUGAGUUGAAUCUUUUACACAACCUUCAGCUGUUACAUUUGCCUUGAGUUUCUUUAGAUUAGACUUUUUCAAAUUUUCAUUUUGAUUUCAUCGUCGAGUUUCAUCCCUUGAAUCUUUGUUCAGGUUUUUACCGUACCGUUU